Molecule: ribosomal RNA, 1479 nt
Filed under: uncultured Bordetella sp.
Lineage: Bacteria; Pseudomonadati; Pseudomonadota; Betaproteobacteria; Burkholderiales; Alcaligenaceae
Description: partial 16S-23S ribosomal RNA intergenic spacer
Rfam family: Bacterial small subunit ribosomal RNA
Source: RNAcentral
AGUUCGAUCAUGGCUCAGAUUGAACGCUGGCGGGAUGCUUUACACAUGCAAGUCGAACUGGCAGCACGGACUUCGGUCUGGUGGCGAGUGGCGAACGGGUGAGUAAUGUAUCGGAACGUGCCUGUGGCAGGGGAUAACUACCGCGAAAGCGUAGCUAAUACCGCAUACGCCCUUCGGGGGAAAGCGGGGACCUUCGGGCCUCGCUGUAGAGCGGCCGAUAUCGGAUUAGCUAGUUGGUGGGGUAACGGCUCACCAAAGGCGACGAUCCGUAGCUGUGAGAGGACGACCAGCCACACUGGGACUGAGACACGGCCCAGACUCCUACGGGAGGCAGCAGUGGGGAAUUUUGGACAAUGGGGAAACCCUGAUCCAGCCAUCCCGCGUGUGCGAUGAAGGCCUUCGGGUUGUAAAGCACUUUUGGCGGGAAAGAAACGGCACGGGAUAAUACCCCGUGCAACUGACGAAACACCUGCAGAAUAAGCACCGGCUAACUACGUGCCAGCAGCCGCGGUAAUACGUAGGGUGCAAGCGUUAAUCGGAAUUACUGGGCGUAAAGCGUGCGCAGGCGGUUCGGAAAGAAAGAUGUGAAAUCCCAGAGCUUAACUUUGGAACUGCAUUUUUAACUACCGAGCUAGAGUGUGUCAGAGGGAGGUGGAAUUCCGCGUGUAGCAGUGAAAUGCGUAGAUAUGCGGAGGAACACCGAUGGCGAAGGCAGCCUCCUGGGAUAACACUGACGUAUGCACGAAAGCGUGGGGAGCAAACAGGAUUAGAUACCCUGAGUAGUCCACGCCUAAACGAUGUCAACUAGCUGUUGGGGCCUUCGGGCCAUGGUAGCGCAGCUAACGCGUGAAGUUGACCGCCUGGGGAGAGUACGGUCGCAAGAUUAAAACUCAAAGGAAUUGACGGGGACCCGCACAAGCGGUGGAUGAUGUGGAUUAAUUCGAUGCAACGCGAAAAACCUUACCUACCCUUGACAUGUCUGGAAUCCCGAAGAGAUUUGGGAGUGCUCAUAAGAGAACCGGAACACAGGUGCUGCAUGGCUGUCGUCAGCUCGUGUCGUGAGAUGUUGGGUUAAGUCCCGCAACGAGCGCAACCCUUGUCAUUAGUUGCUACGAGGAGCACUCUAAUGAGACUGCCGGUGACAAACCGGAGGAGGUGGGGAUGACGUCAAGUCCUCAUGGCCCUUAUGGGUAGGGCUUCACACGUCAUACAAUGGUCGGGACAGAGGGUCGCCAACCCGCGAGGAAGGCCAAUCCCAGAAACCCGAUCGUAGUCCGGAUCGCAGUCUGCAACUCGACUGCGUGAAGUCGGAAUCGCUAGUAAUCGCGGAUCAGCAUGUCGCGGUGAAUACGUUCCCGGGUCUUGUACACACCGCCCGUCACACCAUGGGAGUGGGUUUUACCAGAAGUAGUUAGCCUAACCGUAGGAGGCGAUUACCACGGUAGGAUUCAUGACUGGGGUGAAGUCGUAACAAGGUAA